UACGGAGGGUGCGAGCGUUAAUCGGAAUUACUGGGCGUAAAGCGCGCGUAGGCGGUUUGUUAAGUCGGAUGUGAAAGCCCCGGGCUCAACCUGGGAAUUGCACCCGAUACUGGCCGACUGGAGUGCGAGAGAGGGAGGUAGAAUUCCACGUGUAGCGGUGAAAUGCGUAGAUAUGUGGAGGAAUACCGGUGGCGAAGGCG
This 200-nucleotide ribosomal RNA is filed under the name uncultured bacterium. RNAcentral's name for it is "partial 16S ribosomal RNA". It matches the Rfam family "Bacterial small subunit ribosomal RNA", at positions 524 to 723 of the family's 1533-position model. The record is from RNAcentral.